Molecule: long non-coding RNA, 379 nt
Filed under: Anas platyrhynchos platyrhynchos (common mallard)
Lineage: Eukaryota; Metazoa; Chordata; Aves; Anseriformes; Anatidae
Description: lncRNA (ENSAPLG00000026994.1)
Source: RNAcentral
CCAAUGUGUACCAGACCAGUAGGCAGAGGAGGUUGUUUCUAAAAAGCCAGCAAGGAUGCUGACAGCUGACUUCACAGUAGGGAAAGAAUAUUUUGCUGUGUCACCUGGGUGAAAUUGCUCUCUGCUUUUCUUAAGUGUGAAAAACUGGUGGGAGGAUGCAUCCAUACCAAUGGGAGCUGCAUGGGUUGUAGGAGACUCUGCAGAAGUUACAGCAGGGAGCAGAGAUACUCUGUGCUGUCUUUAUGGCAGCAUUAAAAGGGUAGGGUGUAGGAUGCCUCCUUUGCUGGUUACUGCUCCUUCAGAUUUGAAGACAAAUGCAUCACACAGUAGUGGAAGGGAGCCCCAGACAGGUACUGCCAUAUUCCUUAUUGCCAAGUCU